This 322-nucleotide ribosomal RNA is filed under the name uncultured bacterium. RNAcentral's name for it is "bacterial SSU rRNA". It matches the Rfam family "Bacterial small subunit ribosomal RNA", at positions 585 to 911 of the family's 1533-position model. The record is from RNAcentral.
AAGUCUGGGGUGAAAUCUUGCCGCUUAACGGUAAAAUGGCCCUGGAUACUGGGUUUCUUGAGUGCAGAAGAGGCAGGUGGAAUUCGUGGUGUAGCGGUGAAAUGCUUAGAUAUCACGAAGAACAUCAGUGGCGAAGGCGGCCUGCUGGUCUGCAACUGACGCUGAGGUACGAAAGCGUGGGGAGCGAACAGGAUUAGAUACCCUGGUAGUCCACGCCGUAAACGAUGCAUACUAGGUGUUGGCCUUAGGGCCAGUGCUGCAGUUAACGCAUUAAGUAUGCCACCUGGGGAGUACGUCGGCAACGAUGAAACUCAAAUGAAUU